RNAcentral lists this ribosomal RNA (159 nucleotides) under Erigeron philadelphicus. RNAcentral describes it as "partial 5.8S ribosomal RNA". It matches the Rfam family "5.8S ribosomal RNA". Rfam says of the family: 5.8S ribosomal RNA (5.8S rRNA) is a component of the large subunit of the eukaryotic ribosome. The record is from RNAcentral. Lineage: Eukaryota; Viridiplantae; Streptophyta; Magnoliopsida; Asterales; Asteraceae.
GACUCUCGGCAACGGAUAUCUCGGCUCACGCAUCGAUGAAGAACGUAGCAAAAUGCGAUACUUGGUGUGAAUUGCAGAAUCCCGUGAACCAUCGAGUUUUUGAACGCAAGUUGCGCCCGAAGCCAUUCGGUUGAGGGCACGUCUGCYUGGGCGUCACGC